GAUGAACGCUGGCGGCGUGCCUAAUACAUGCAAGUCGAGCGAACAGACGAGGAGCUUGCUCCUCUGACGUUAGCGGCGGACGGGUGAGUAACACGUGGAUAACCUACCUAUAAGACUGGGAUAACUUCGGGAAACCGGAGCUAAUACCGGAUAAUAUAUUGAACCGCAUGGUUCAAUAGUGAAAGACGGUUUUGCUGUCACUUAUAGAUGGAUCCGCGCCGCAUUAGCUAGUUGGUAAGGUAACGGCUUACCAAGGCGACGAUGCGUAGCCGACCUGAGAGGGUGAUCGGCCACACUGGCACUGAGACACGGUCCAGACUCCUACGGGAGGCAGCAGUAGGGAAUCUUCCGCAAUGGGCGAAAGCCUGACGGAGCAACGCAGCGUGAGUGAUGAAGGUCUUCGGAUCGUAAAACUCUGUUAUUAGGGAAGAACAAAUGUGUAAGUAACUAUGCACGUCUUGACGGUACCUAAUCAGAAAGCCACGGCUAACUACGUG
This 497-nucleotide ribosomal RNA is filed under the name uncultured bacterium. Its description in RNAcentral is "partial 16S ribosomal RNA". It matches the Rfam family "Bacterial small subunit ribosomal RNA", at positions 28 to 507 of the family's 1533-position model. The record is from RNAcentral.